AGAGUUUGAUCCUGGCUCAGGAUGAACGCUAGCGACAGGCCUAACACAUGCAAGUCGAGGGGCAGCGGAGAGGUAGCAAUACCUCUGUCGGCGACCGGCGCACGGGUGAGUAACACGUAUGCAAUCCACCUGUAACAGGGGGAUAACCCGGAGAAAUCCGGACUAAUACCCCAUAAUAUGGGCGCUCCGCAUGGAGAGUUCAUUAAAGAGAGCAAUUUUGGUUACAGACGAGCAUGCGCUCCAUUAGCCAGUUGGCGGGGUAACGGCCCACCAAGGCGACGAUGGAUAGGGGUUCUGAGAGGAAGGUCCCCCACAUUGGAACUGAGACACGGUCCAAACUCCUACGGGAGGCAGCAGUGAGGAAUAUUGGUCAAUGGUCGGCAGACUGAACCAGCCAAGUCGCGUGAGGGAAGACGGCCCUACGGGUUGUAAACCUCUUUUGUCGGAGAGUAAAGUACGCUACGUGUAGCGUAUUGCAAGUAUCCGAAGAAAAAGCAUCGGCUAACUCCGUGCCAGCAGCCGCGGUAAUACGGAGGAUGCAAGCGUUAUCCGGAUUUAUUGGGUUUAAAGGGUGCGUAGGCGGCACGCCAAGUCAGCGGUGAAAUUUCCGGGCUCAACCCGGAGUGUGCCGUUGAAACUGGCGAGCUAGAGUACACAAGAGGCAGGCGGAAUGCGUGGUGUAGCGGUGAAAUGCAUAGAUAUCACGCAGAACCCCGAUUGCGAAGGCAGCCUGCUAGGGUGAAACAGACGCUGAGGCACGAAAGCGUGGGUAUCGAACAGGAUUAGAUACCCUGGUAGUCCACGCAGUAAACGAUGAAUACUAACUGUUUGCGAUACAAUGUAAGCGGUACAGCGAAAGCGUUAAGUAUUCCACCUGGGGAGUACGCCGGCAACGGUGAAACUCAAAGGAAUUGACGGGGGCCCGCACAAGCGGAGGAACAUGUGGUUUAAUUCGAUGAUACGCGAGGAACCUUACCCG
Molecule: ribosomal RNA, 979 nt
Filed under: gut metagenome
Description: bacterial SSU rRNA
Rfam family: Bacterial small subunit ribosomal RNA
Source: RNAcentral